RNAcentral lists this long non-coding RNA (8873 nucleotides) under Anas platyrhynchos (mallard). RNAcentral describes it as "lncRNA (ENSAPLG00020013079.1)". The record is from RNAcentral. Lineage: Eukaryota; Metazoa; Chordata; Aves; Anseriformes; Anatidae.
CUCUCGAUCCCCGACCACCUGCCCAGCUGACAGCCCCGGCACCGCGGCUGCUCGCCCGGGGGGCGGAAUGGCAGCGGCGCAAGCUGGCGAUGCGCAGCAGUAGGGCUGGGGGAGGAAACCCAGCACCAGCCCCCGGCUUGGGCUGCCCGGGGGGAGCCGCAGGCUCGGGAGGUGCCGGCAGGGGAGCGGUGGGUGCCGUGCCGAGCCGUGCCGGGUUAUCAGCGCCGAGAGGGGCAGCCGCCGGGCUCGCCGCCUCGUCUCCCCCAGCCAUGAAUCCCAGCGAAGGGGCGGCGGAGGAAGGCGCUGUCCCCGACUCCGAGGUGGAUGCUUUCUUCCGAACAGGUUCAUUCCGAAAUGAUGGCUUAAAAGCUGCUGAUGUCCUUCCUAUACUAAAGGAGAAAGUGGCCUUUGUGUCAGGUGGCCGUGAUAAACGAGGUGGUCCUGUCUUGACCUUCCCAGCCCGCAGCAAUCAUGACAGAAUAAGGCAGGAAGACCUUCGGAAACUUGUGACUUAUUUGGCCAGCGUGCCAAGUGAAGAUGUCUGUAAACGAGGAUUCACUGUUAUCAUCGAUAUGCGGGGAUCAAAAUGGGAUUUGAUCAAACCUCUCCUAAAGACCCUUCAAGAAGCCUUUCCUGCCGAGAUUCACGUUGCCCUGAUUAUAAAACCUGAUAAUUUCUGGCAGAAGCAGAAAACGAACUUCGGCAGUUCCAAGUUCAUCUUUGAGACAAGUAUGGUAUCUGUUGAAGGCCUGGCAAAACUCGUAGAUCCUUCCCAACUGACAGAUGAGUUUGAAGGAUCAUUGGAUUACAACCACGAUGAAUGGAUAGAGUUGCGUGUCUCCUUAGAAGAAUUUUUCAACAGUGCCAUUCAUCUAUUAUCAAGACUGGAGGACCUUCAGGAAAUGUUGGGCUCAAGGAGGCUGAUUGAUGAGCACACACAGCUUAAGAAAAAAGUGAUUAAAGCUCCUGUGGAAGAACUGGAUCGUGAGGGUCAGAGGUUAUUACAAUGUAUAAGAUGCAGUGAUGGUUUUUCUGGUAGGAACUGCAUUCCUGGAAGUGCAGACUUUCAAAGUCUUGUGCCAAAGAUCACCAGCCUUUUAGACAAGCUGCAUUCUACCAGACAACAUUUGCAUCAGAUGUGGCAUGUCCGCAAGCUAAAACUGGACCAGUGCUUUCAACUCCGGCUUUUUGAGCAAGAUGCUGAGAAGAUGUUUGACUGGAUCAGCCACAACAAAGAAUUGUUCCUGCAGAGCCACACAGAGAUUGGCGUGAGCUAUCAACAUGCCCUUGACCUACAGACACAGCACAAUCAUUUUGCCAUGAAUUCAAUGAAUGCCUAUGUCAACAUCAAUCGGAUCAUGUCUGUUGCAUCUAGGCUUUCUGAGGCAGGCCAUUAUGCGUCCCAGCAAAUUAAACAAAUUUCUACCCAGCUGGAUCAAGACACCAUUUUAGCCAUGUCCGCUGUCUUUCACCAGAAAGCUGAACAGUUCCUUUCAGGUGUGGAUGCCUGGUGUAAAAUGUGCAGUGAAGGAGGGCUCCCCUCUGAGAUGCAAGAUCUGGAACUGGCAUACACAGAGGUGAGCCAGGAUGGGAAAGCCUUGCUGGAUGUCUUACAGCGUCCCUUGAGCCCUGGGAACUCUGAAUCCCUCACUGCUACUGCAAAUUACUCCAAGGCUGUUCACCAGGUGUUGGAUGUGGUACAUGAAGUCCUACAUCACCAGCGGCGUCUAGAGAGCAUCUGGCAACACCGAAAAGUCCGGCUACAUCAGAGGCUGCAACUCUGCGUUUUCCAGCAGGAUGUUCAACAGGUACUGGACUGGAUUGAAAAUCACGGGGAAGCCUUUCUGAGUAAACACACAGGAGUUGGGAAGUCUCUACAUAGAGCACGUGCACUGCAGAAAAGACACGAUGAUUUUGAAGAGGUAGCACAGAAUACGUACACCAAUGCAGACAAGCUUUUAGAGGCUGCAGAGCAGCUGGCUCAGACUGGGGAAUGUGACCCUGAAGAGAUCUAUAAAGCAGCCCGGCAUCUGGAAGUACGGAUUCAGGACUUUGUCCGGAGGGUGGAACAGAGGAAACUUCUCUUGGACAUGUCAGUCUCCUUCCAUACCCACACCAAAGAGCUGUGGACAUGGAUGGAAGAUCUGCAGAAGGAGCUCUUAGAGGAUGUCUCAUCCACCUGGAGGACAGCCGUUUCCAACAAUAAGACUCCACACAAUAGCUCCAUCAGCCACAUCGAAUCUGUACUUCAGCAGCUCGACGAGGCCCAGGUACAGAUGGAAGAGCUCUUCCAUGAGAGGAAGAUUAAGCUAGAUAUUUUUCUUCAGCUCCGGAUUUUUGAACAGUACACCAUCGAGGUUACAGCAGAGUUAGAUGCCUGGAAUGAAGAUCUGCUGAGACAAAUGAAUGAUUUCAAUACUGAAGACCUCACUCUGGCUGAACAACGUCUGCAGCGUCACACUGAGCGGAAAUUGGCCAUGAACAACAUGACCUUUGAAGUCAUCCAACAAGGGCAAGAUUUACACCAAUACAUCAUGGAGGUCCAGGCUUCAGGCAUUGAGCUGAUCUGUGAAAAGGACAUUGAUCUUGCAACACAAGUUCAAGAGCUGCUGGAAUUCCUUCAUGAGAAACAGCAUGAGCUGGAGCUUAAUGCUGACCAAACUCACAAGAGGUUAGAGCAGUGCCUACAGCUUCGGCACCUACAGGCUGAGGUCAAGCAGGUGCUUGGCUGGAUCCGGAAUGGUGAAUCAAUGCUGAAUGCAAGCCUUGUCAAUGCAAGCUCCCUUUCUGAAGCUGAGCAGCUCCAGCGAGAGCAUGAACAAUUUCAGCUGGCCAUAGAGUCCCUGUUUCAUGCCACUUCCUUACAGAAGACACACCAGAGUGCCCUGCAGGUCCAGCAGAAAGCCGAAGUCCUGCUGCAGGCAGGGCAUUAUGAUGCUGAUGCCAUCAGAGAAUGUGCUGAAAAGGUGGCCCUGCACUGGCAACAGCUGAUGCUGAAGAUGGAGGACAGGCUCAAACUGGUCAAUGCUUCAGUGGCCUUCUAUAAAACCUCUGAGCAGGUGUGCAGUGUAUUAGAGAGCCUGGAGCAAGAAUACAGACGGGAUGAAGAUUGGUGUGGAGGUCGAGAUAAACUUGGACCAGCAGCUGAGAUAGACCACGUCAUCCCGCUGAUCAGCAAACAUCUGGAGCAGAAGGAGGCUUUUCUCAAGGCCUGCACUCUGGCACGAAGAAAUGCCGAGGUAUUCCUCAAGUACAUCCACAGGAACAAUGUUAGCAUGCCUGGAGUAGCAAGCCAUACCAGGGGGCCUGAGCAGCAAGUGAAAGCCAUUUUGAGUGAGUUGCUGCAGAGGGAGAACCGGGUCCUUCACUUCUGGACCCUGAAAAAGCGACGAUUAGACCAGUGCCAACAGUACGUUGUCUUCGAGCGUAGUGCCAAGCAGGCCUUAGACUGGAUCCAAGAAACAGGCGAAUAUUACCUCUCUACUCACAACUCCACAGGGGAAUCGGCUGAGGAAACUCAGGAACUCCUGAAGGAAUAUGGGGAAUUCAGAGUACCUGCAAAGCAAACAAAGGAGAAAGUGAAGCUCCUCAUCCAGCUGGCUGACAGCUUUGUAGAAAAAGGACAUAUGCACGCCACUGAAAUCAGGAAGUGGGUCACCACUGUUGACAAACGCUACCGUGACUUCUCUCUCAGAAUGGGGAAAUACCGCUACUCCCUGGAAAAAGCCCUUGGAAUCAAUACAGAGGAUAACAAGGACCUAGAACUAGAUAUUAUUCCAGCAAGUCUUUCAGAUCGGGAGGUAAAGCUGCGAGAUGCAAAUCAUGAAGUCAAUGAAGAAAAAAGAAAAUCGGCCAGAAAGAAAGAAUUCAUUAUGGCUGAGCUGCUUCAGACAGAAAAAGCUUAUGUCAGGGAUUUACAUGAAUGUUUAGAGACUUACCUUUGGGAAAUGACAAGUGGAGUGGAAGAAAUACCCGCUGGGAUCCUUAAUAAAGAACACAUCAUCUUUGGCAAUAUUCAGGAGAUAUAUGACUUUCAUAACAAAGUCAAAAUGCUAAACAAAGAAAUGCAGAGAUACAGAGCUGACAUUUGUUAUGGGUGGUUCCGUCUGGAAAUUCAGCAAAGGCAUGGUCUGGCGAAUUCUAUCUCUUCUUAUUUAAUCAAGCCCGUCCAGAGGAUCACAAAAUACCAACUCCUACUGAAGGAACUGCUAACCUGCUGUGAGGAAGGCAAAGGGGAGCUCAAAGAUGGUCUGGAAGUGAUGCUCAGUGUCCCCAAGAAGGCCAAUGACGCAAUGCACGUCAGCAUGCUGGAAGGGUUUGAUGAGAACCUGGACGUCCAGGGAGAGCUGAUCCUUCAGGAUUCCUUCCAAGUGUGGGAUCCCAAGUCUUUAAUUCGGAAAGGCCGUGAGAGGCAUUUGUUUCUCUUUGAAAUCUCUUUGGUGUUUAGCAAAGAGAUCAAAGAUUCUUCAGGACAUACAAAAUAUGUUUACAAGAACAAGCUACUGACCUCAGAACUGGGAGUAACUGAACAUGUGGAAGGAGACCCCUGUAAAUUUGCUUUGUGGUCUGGACGAACACCAUCCUCAGACAAUAAAACAGUGCUGAAAGCGUCCAGUAUUGAAACAAAACAAGAAUGGAUCAAAAACAUCCGGGAAGUCAUUCAAGAAAGGAUUAUCCAUCUGAAAGGAGCUCUGAAAGAGCCAAUUCAGCUCCCCAAGACACCAGCAAAGCAGCGAAACAACAGUAGAAGAGAUGGAGUAGAUGAUGCAGACAGCCAAGGAGACGGCAGCAGUCAACCAGACACCAUUUCCAUUGCAUCCAGGACAUCACAGAAUACAGUGGACAGUGAUAAGUUGUCUGGAGGGUGUGAACUAACUGUGGUGCUCCAGGACUUCAUAGCAGGCCACAGCAGCGAGCUGAGCAUUCAGGUGGGGCAGACAGUGGAGCUGCUGGAGAGGCCGAGCGAAAGGCCAGGCUGGUGUUUGGUCCGGACCACGGAGCGGAGCCCACCUCAGGAGGGUCUGGUCCCCAGCAGCGCUCUCUGCAUUUCCCAUUCCCGCAGCAGCGUGGAGAUGGAUUGCUUCUUCCCUUCAGGAAAAGAGGCAUAUUCAGUGUCCUCCAAUGACAACGGGGGCAAGUCAGAUUCGGUGGCCAACCUGCAGCCUCAGCCAUCCCUCAACUCCAUCCAGAGCUCUCCGGGCCCCAAGCGCUCGACCAACACGCUGAAGAAAUGGCUGACCAGCCCUGUGCGCCGGCUGAACAGCGGCAAGACUGAGAGCAACAUCAAGAAGCAGAAGAAGGUGCGAGAUGGCAGGAAGAGCUUUGACCUCGGCUCACCAAAGACCGGAGAUGAAACCACUCCGCAAGGAGACAGCGCCGAUGAGAAGAGCAAGAAGGGUUGGGGAGAAGAUGAGCCAGACGAAGAAUCUCAUACACCUCUUCCUCCUCCCAUGAAGAUUUUUGACAAUGAUCCAACCCAAGAUGAGAUGUCCUCUUCUUUGCUAGCUGCUCGACAGAGCUCCUCCGAUGUCCCGACUGCUGCGGAUCUUGUCAGUGCAAUAGAAAAGUUGGUCAAAAGUAAGCUGACCCUUGAAGGAGGAUCUUACCGAGGAACCUUAAAAGAUGCCACUGGCUGCUUAAAUGAAGGAAUGACGCCUUCAACUCCCCCAAGAAACCUUGAAGAGGAACAAAAAGCCAAAGCAAUGAGAGGCAGGAUGUUUGUCUUAAAUGAGCUGGUGCAGACCGAAAAAGACUACGUCAAAGACUUGGGAACUGUUGUGGAGGGCUUCAUGAAGAGAAUAGAAGAAAAAGGAGUUUCCGAAGAUAUGAAAGGGAAAGACAAGAUAGUAUUUGGCAAUAUUCACCAGAUCUAUGACUGGCACAAAGACUUUUUCCUGGCUGAACUGGAAAAAUGUCUUCAAGAGCAUGACCGUUUAGCACAGCUUUUUAUUAAACAUGAGCGUCGAUUACACAUGUAUGUGGUGUAUUGCCAAAAUAAGCCACGAUCUGAAUAUAUAGUAGCUGAGUAUGAGGCAUAUUUUGAGGAGGUUCAACAGGAAAUAAACCAACGACUAACCAUCAGUGAUUUUCUGAUCAAACCCAUUCAAAGAAUAACUAAAUAUCAGCUUCUUCUCAAGGUGAGUGGAAAGAUGGACCCUCUGACUUCCUUGUACCAAUACAACCUUUCAGAUCAUCUCAAGGGACCGUACUGGGUUGGGAUCUGUAACACUGGUGCCUUGUCUGCUUCUCAGGGCAAGCUGACAGCUCAAGGCAAGCUGCUGCAGCAGGACACCUUCUAUGUGACCGAGCAGGAUUCUGGAGUUCAGUCCCGACCAAAGGAACGUAGGGUGUUUCUCUUUGAGCAAAUAGUUAUCUUCAGUGAACUGCUUAGGAAAGGAUCUUUAACACCAGGCUACAUGUUCAAGAAAAGCAUAAAGAUGAACUACCUUAUCAUUGAAGAAAAUGUGGACAAUGAUCCUUGCAAGUUUGCUCUGAUGAGCCGGGAAACAUCAGAGAGAGUUAUUUUACAGGCAGCUAAUCCAGAAAUUCAGCAAGCUUGGGUACAGGACAUCAACCAGGUUCUGGACACACAAAGAGAUUUCCUAAAUGCGCUACAGUCUCCCAUAGAGUACCAACGCAAAGAAAGUAGCUCAGCAGUGCUGAGGCCCCAGACCGGUAGGGUCUCUCAGCCCAACAGCAGACCCUAUUCUUCUGUUCCAGUAGGGUCUGAGAAGCCUUUGAAGGCUACAAGCCGUAAUCCCUCUCUCCCACCCCUGAAGAUAUCUACCUCCAACGGCAGCACAGGGUAUGAACAUUCACAGCCCGGAGACAAGUACGAACAAAGCAAGACUGAUUUGGGAGGGUGCAAUGGGACCUCUUCCAUGGUUGUGAUUAAAGAUUACUAUGCACUGAAGGAGGAUGAGAUCUGUGUGAAUCAAGGAGAGGUGGUUCAGAUCCUCGCUAUCAACCAGCAGAACAUGUUCCUGGUGUACCAGCCUGCAAACGACCACUCUCCGGCUGCUGAAGGAUGGAUCCCUGGCAAUAUCUUGGCUCCCCUCACUAAAUCCACCACAGAUAGUAGCGACGGAAGCAUCAAGAAGUCAUGUUCAUGGCAUACCCUGCGCAUGAGAAAGCGGGCGGAAAAGGAGAGCAGUGGCAAAAAUGAAGCCAAUGGGCCACGUAAAUCCAAGGAUAUUCUGGGGAACAAAGUCUCUGUUAAAGAGACAAACAGCUCAGAGGAGUCAGAGUGUGAUGACCUUGACCCCAAUACUAGCAUGGAGGUAGAGACAAUCAUCCUUGUCAUUAUUUUUGUCCAAGAACAUGUGCCUUUUCUUGUGCCUUUAGUGGAUAUCACCUGCCUGCUUGGUGACACAGUGAUGCUGCAGUGCAAAGUCUGUGGACGUCCCAAACCAACUAUAACCUGGAAAGGACCAGAUCAAAACAUUCUUGACAAUGACAACAGCACAGCCACCUACACGGUGUCAUCCUGCGAAUCCGGGGAGCUGACGCUGAAGAUCUGUAACGUGAUGCCCCAGGAUAGCGGCAUUUACACCUGUGUGGCAGUUAAUGAGCACGGGACGGCAUCAACCUCAGCCACAGUCAAAGUCCAAGGUGUCCCGGCUGCCCCAAAUCGCCCCAUUGCUCAGGAGAGAAGCUGCACCUCUGUGAUCCUUCGCUGGCUGCCCCCCUCCAGUACAGGCAAUUGCACCAUUUCAGGCUACACUGUGGAGUACAGAGAAGAAGGCUCGCAGGUCUGGCAGCAGUCGGUGGCCUCAACUCUGGACACCUAUCUUGUCAUUGAAGACCUGUCCCCAGGCUGCCAGUACCAGUUUCGAGUGAGCGCCAGCAACCCCUGGGGGAUCAGCUUGCCCAGUGACCCAUCUGAAUUUGUGAGGCUCCCAGAGUACGAUUCUGCUGCUGAUGGUGCCACUAUUUCAUGGAAGGAAAACUUUGACCUUGCUUAUGCAGAGCUGCAUGAGAUUGGGAGGGGACGAUUCUCCAUAGUAAAGAAAUGUGUUCACAAAGCUACCAGGAAAGACGUUGCUGUAAAAUUCAUUAGUAAAAAAAUGAAAAAGAAAGAGCAAGCGGCACAUGAAGCAGCCCUGUUACAGCACUUACAGCAUCCUCAGUACAUCACUAUCCAUGAUACCUACGAGUCUCCGACUUCUUACAUCCUAGUUUUGGAGCUGAUGGAUGACGGUCGUCUCUUAGAUUACCUAAUGAACCAUGAUGAACUCAUGGAGGAAAAGGUAGCUUUCUACAUAAGAGACACAAUGGAAGCCUUGCAGUAUCUUCACAAUUGCCGAGUGGCUCAUUUAGACAUAAAGCCAGAAAAUCUGCUCAUUGAUUUAAGAAUUCCAGUACCUCGUGUCAAGAUCAUCGAUUUGGAAGAUGCAGUUCAAAUCACAGGUCAUUAUCACGUCCACCACCUCCUUGGAAACCCAGAGUUUGCAGCUCCUGAAGUUAUCCAAGGCCUUCCUGUCUCCCUGAGCACAGACAUCUGGAGCAUCGGGGUCCUCACCUACGUCAUGCUGAGUGGUGUCUCUCCCUUCCUGGAUGAAAGCAAAGAGGAGACUUGUAUCAAUGUGUGCAGAGUAGAUUUCAGCUUCCCACCCGAGUACUUCUCUGAUGUGAGCCAUGCCGCCAGGGAUUUCAUCAACGUUAUCCUCCAGGAAGACUUCAGAAGAAGGCCAACAGCAGCCACGUGUUUACAGCAUCCAUGGCUGCAACCGCACAACGGCAGCUAUUCCAAAAUCCCUCUGGAUACCUCCCGCUUGGCUUCCUUCAUCGAGCGCCGCAGACACCAGUACGACGUGCACCCUGUCCCCAGCGUCAAGAGUUUCCUGAUGAGCAGGCUGAACCCAGGAACGUAA